Molecule: ribosomal RNA, 684 nt
Filed under: Enterobacter mori
Lineage: Bacteria; Pseudomonadati; Pseudomonadota; Gammaproteobacteria; Enterobacterales; Enterobacteriaceae
Description: bacterial SSU rRNA
Rfam family: Bacterial small subunit ribosomal RNA
Source: RNAcentral
CGAGCGGCAGCGGAAGUACCUUGCUACUUUGCCGGCGAGCGGCGGACGGGUGAGUAAUGUCUGGGAAACUGCCUGAUGGAGGGGGAUAACUACUGGAAACGGUAGCUAAUACCGCAUAACGUCGCAAGACCAAAGAGGGGGACCUUCGGGCCUCUUGCCAUCAGAUGUGCCCAGAUGGGAUUAGCUAGUAGGUGGGGUAACGGCUCACCUAGGCGACGAUCCCUAUCUGGUCUGAGAGGAUGACCAGCCACACUGGAACUGAGACACGGUCCAGACUCCUACGGGAGGCAGCAGUGGGGAAUAUUGCACAAUGGGCGCAAGCCUGAUGCAGCCAUGCCGCGUGUAUGAAGAAGGCCUUCGGGUUGUAAAGUACUUUCAGCGGGGAGGAAGGCGUUGAGGUUAAUAACCUCAGCGAUUGACGUUACCCGCAGAAGAAGCACCGGCUAACUCCGUGCCAGCAGCCGCGGUAAUACGGAGGGUGCAAGCGUUAAUCGGAAUUACUGGGCGUAAAGCGCACGCAGGCGGUCUGUCAAGUCGGAUGUGAAAUCCCCGGGCUCAACCUGGGAACUGCAUUCGAAACUGGCAGGCUAGAGUCUUGUAGAGGGGGGUAGAAUUCCGGGUGUAGCGGUGAAAUGCGUAGAGAUCUGGAGGAAUACCGGUGGCGAAGGCGGCCCCCUGGACAAA